GAGUUUGAUCUUGGCUCAGAUUGAACGCUGGCGGCAUGCCUUACACAUGCAAGUCGAACGGCAGCACGGGAGCUUGCUCCUGGUGGCGAGUGGCGAACGGGUGAGUAAUGCAUCGGAACGUAUCCUGGAGUGGGGGAUAACGUAGCGAAAGUUACGCUAAUACCGCAUAUUCUGUGAGCAGGAAAGCGGGGGACCUUCGGGCCUCGCGCUCUUGGAGCGGCCGAUGUCGGAUUAGCUAGUUGGUGAGGUAAAGGCUCACCAAGGCGACGAUCCGUAGCAGGUCUGAGAGGAUGAUCUGCCACACUGGAACUGAGACACGGUCCAGACUCCUACGGGAGGCAGCAGUCGGGAAUUUUGGACAAUGGGGGCAACCCUGAUCCAGCCAUGCCGCGU
Molecule: ribosomal RNA, 393 nt
Filed under: bacterium enrichment culture clone ALO1_GLFRUDD03HJN03
Lineage: Bacteria
Description: bacterial SSU rRNA
Rfam family: Bacterial small subunit ribosomal RNA
Source: RNAcentral